UGCAGUCGAUCGCUCUUUUCGGAGAGAGAGGCGCACGGGUGAGUAACACGUGGGAAUAUACCCUUGAGUACGGAAUAACUAUUGGAAACGAUAGCUAAUACCGUAUACGCCCUACGGGGGAAAGAUUUAUCGCUCAAGGAUUAGCCCGCGUCUGAUUAGCUAGUUGGUGAGGUAAUGGCUCACCAAGGCGACGAUCAGUAGCUGGUUUGAGAGAAUGAUCAGCCACACUGGGACUGAGACACGGCCCAGACUCCUACGGGAGGCAGCAGUGGGGAAUAUUGGACAAUGGGCGCAAGCCUGAUCCAGCCAUGCCGCGUGAGUGAAGAAGGCCUUCGGGUUGUAAAGCUCUUUCAGACGUGAAGAUGAUGACGGUAACGUCAGAAGAAGCCCCGGCUAACUUCGUGCCAGCAGCCGCGGUAAUACGAAGGGGGCAAGCGUUGUUCGGAAUUACUGGGCGUAAAGCGCGCGUAGGCGGCGUCGUCAGUCAGAGGUGAAAUCCCAGGGCUCAACCUUGGAAUUGCCUUUGAUACUGCGAUGCUUGAGUUCGAGAGAGGGUGGCGGAAUACCCAGUGUAGAGGUGAAAUUCGUAGAUAUUGGGUAGAACACCAGUGGCGAAGGCGGCCACCUGG
RNAcentral lists this ribosomal RNA (629 nucleotides) under uncultured bacterium. Its description in RNAcentral is "bacterial SSU rRNA". It matches the Rfam family "Bacterial small subunit ribosomal RNA", at positions 56 to 732 of the family's 1533-position model. The record is from RNAcentral.